CUUGGUGUAGAUAAAGAGCGAGCUACAGCAUUUGCCAAAGCAACGGUGAAGCUGGGAUCUUUAGUCAGGGAUGCAACGUACUCUUCAACCUUAGAGUUGCAGUUUUUGUUGGUGUGAUCUUCCAUAAAACUUUGAGAAGGUUUUUCCUUGUCAUCUAUGGGGCUCGAGAGGUUAAGAUCAAGGGCUAAACCUGGUUGAAAAUGAUUGCUUGUGACUGGACAAGAAAUGCAACUUCUCGAGCUAUCUGGAGAGUACAUGGUGUGUCCAGGUGAACCGUUGGGAUCAUGGCUGUGUUCUCCUUCAUAAGUUGCAACCAGUAAUGAUUUAUCCUCCGCGCAUCUUUGAACCUUCUUUUUGACUGGGCAACCUGGAGCCAUGGAACACCUGUAGUAAGCUCUAGGUGAUGGAUUAUCUUUAGUAACCUUCUGGCCAUACUUUCUCCAUUGAUAUCCAUCUUUUACAAUUCAGGCUCUUGUCUUCGGAGUCGGUUCUGACAAAGAUUUGUGAAGGCUUUGCCAUGGGAAUCUCAAUCCUCGGUUUCUUGAUCGGGUCAUAGACCUCAUGAUAGUAGUAUGAAGCACCACUAAGUGGUGAGUAGCUACCAAUUUCUUGAACCUUAAAUUUCUUUUCUUGAACAUGUGCUUGAAGGUCACUGAGCUUACUGCUCAUAACUUCAAGCAUAACCCUAAGGGUAUCAUUCUCUUUCCGGGUACGUUCCAACUCAUCUUGGAGAGCUUCCGCCUUAGCUUUGCAAGAG
This 757-nucleotide unclassified non-coding RNA is filed under the name Hevea brasiliensis (rubber tree). The record is from RNAcentral. Lineage: Eukaryota; Viridiplantae; Streptophyta; Magnoliopsida; Malpighiales; Euphorbiaceae.